AUGAACGCUGGCGGCGUUCCUAAUACAUGCAAGUCGCGCGAACAGACGAGGAGCUUGCUCCUCUGACGUUAGCGGCGGACGGGUGAGUAACACGUGGAUAACCUACCUAUAAGACUGGGAUAACUUCGGGAAACCGGAGCUAAUACCGGAUAAUAUAUUGAACCGCAUGGUUCAAUAGUGAAAGACGGUUUUGCUGUCACUUAUAGAUGGAUCCGCGCCGCAUUAGCUAGUUGGUAAGGUAACGGCUUACCAAGGCAACGAUGCGUAGCCGACCUGAGAGGGUGAUCGGCCAAACUGGAACUGAGACACGGUCCAGACUCCUACGGGAGGCAGCAGUAGGGAAUCUUCCGCAAUGGGCGAAAGCCUGACGGAGCAACGCCGCGUGAGUGAUGAAGGUCUUCGGAUCGUAAAACUCUGUUAUUAGGGAAGAACAAAUGUGUAAGUAACUAUGCACGUCUUGACGGUACCUAAUCAGAAAGCCACGGCUAACUACGUG
Molecule: ribosomal RNA, 496 nt
Filed under: uncultured bacterium
Lineage: Bacteria
Description: partial 16S ribosomal RNA
Rfam family: Bacterial small subunit ribosomal RNA
Source: RNAcentral